UCCGCUUUGAGAUGGCCUCGCGUCCGAUUAGCUAGUUGGUGAGGUAACGGCCCACCAAGGCAACGAUCGGUAGCCGGACUGAGAGGUUGAACGGCCACAUUGGGACUGAGACACGGCCCAGACUCCUACGGGAGGCAGCAGUGGGGAAUAUUGCACAAUGGGGGAAACCCUGAUGCAGCGACGCCGCGUGGAGGAAGAAGGUCUUCGGAUUGUAAACUCCUGUUGUUGGGGAAGAUAAUGACGGUACCCAACAAGGAAGUGACGGCUAACUACGUGCCAGCAGCCGCGGUAAAACGUAGGUCACAAGCGUUGUCCGGAAUUACUGGGUGUAAAGGGAGCGCAGGCGGGAAGACAAGUUGGAAGUGAAAUCUAUGGGCUCAACCCAUAAACUGCUUUCAAAACUGUUUUUCUUGAGUAGUGCAGAGGUAGGCGGAAUUCCCGGUGUAGCGGUGGAAUGCGUAGAUAUCGGGAGGAACACCAGUGGCGAAGGCGGCCUACUGGGCACCAACUGACGCUGAGGCUCGAAAGUGUGGGUAGCAAACAGGAUUAGAUACCCUGGUAGUCCACACCGUAAACGAUGAUUACUAGGUGUUGGAGGAUUGACCCCUUCAGUGCCGCAGUUAACACAAUAAGUAAUCCACCUGGGGAGUACGACCGCAAGGUUGAAACUCAAAGGAAUUGACGGGGGCCCGCACAAGCAGUGGAGUAUGUGGUUUAAUUCGACGCAACGCGAAGAACCUUACCAAGUCUUGACAUCCCUUGACAGGCAUAGAAAUAUGUUUUCUCUUCGGAGCAAGGAGACAGGUGGUGCAUGGUUGUCGUCAGCUCGUGUCGUGAGAUGUUGGGUUAAGUCCCGCAAGGAGCGCAACCCUUAUGGUCAGUUACUACGCAAGAGGACUCUGGCCAGACUGCCGUUGACAAAACGGAGGAAGGUGGGGAUGACGUCAAAUCAUCAUGCCCUUUAUGACUUGGGCUACACACGUACUACAAUGGCGUUAAACAAAGAGAAGCAAGACCGCGAGGUGGAGCAAAACUCAGAAACAACGUCCCAGUUCGGACUGCAGGCUGCAACUCGCCUGCACGAAGUCGGAAUUGCUAGUAAUCGUGGAUCAGCAUGCCACGGUGAAUACGUUCCCGGGCCUUGUACACACCGCCCGUCACACCAUGAGAGCCGGGGGGACCCGAAGUCGGUAGUCUAACCGCAAGGAGGACGCCGCCGAAGGUAAAACUGGUGAUUGGGGUGAAGUCGUAACAAGGU
Molecule: ribosomal RNA, 1258 nt
Filed under: metagenome
Description: bacterial SSU rRNA
Rfam family: Bacterial small subunit ribosomal RNA
Source: RNAcentral